Molecule: ribosomal RNA, 74 nt
Filed under: Bacteroides fragilis
Lineage: Bacteria; Pseudomonadati; Bacteroidota; Bacteroidia; Bacteroidales; Bacteroidaceae
Also listed under: 7 other names
Description: partial 16S ribosomal RNA
Rfam family: Bacterial small subunit ribosomal RNA
Source: RNAcentral
CUUUUACAAUGAAGAGUUUGAUCCUGGCUCAGGAUGAACGCUAGCUACAGGCUUAACACAUGCAAGUCGAGGGG